RNAcentral lists this ribosomal RNA (405 nucleotides) under Nannoperca oxleyana. RNAcentral's name for it is "partial 12S ribosomal RNA". It matches the Rfam family "Bacterial small subunit ribosomal RNA", at positions 173 to 815 of the family's 1533-position model. Lineage: Eukaryota; Metazoa; Chordata; Actinopteri; Centrarchiformes; Percichthyidae. The record is from RNAcentral.
GCACUCCCGUGAGAAUGCCCUACAGUCCCCCGCCCGGGAACAAGGAGCUGGUAUCAGGCCCAUUAAACUCGGCCCACGACACCUUGCUUAGCCACGCCCCCAAGGGAAUUCAGCAGUGAUAGACAUUAAGCCAUAAGUGAAAACUUGACUUAGUUAAAGCCAAGAGGGCCGGUAAAACUCGUGCCAGCCACCGCGGUUAUACGAGAGGCCCAAGUUGAUAGACCUCGGCGUAAAGAGUGGUUAGGAAAAAACUAAAACUAAAGCCGAACACCUUCAGAACUGUUAUACGUAUUCGAAGGUAAGAAGUUCAACUACGAAAGUGGCUUUAUAGCCUCUGAACCCACGAAAGCUAUGACACAAACUGGGAUUAGAUACCCCACUAUGCUUAGCCUUAAACAUUGGCAG